CCCUUAGAUGUUCUGGGCUGCACGCGCGCUACACUGAAGCGUUCAACGAGUAUUCACCUUGCCCGGGAGGGUUGGGUAAUCUUUUCAAAACGCUUCGUGAUGGGGAUAGAUUAUUGCAAUUAUUAAUCUUCAACGAGGAAUUCCUAGUAAGCGCGAGUCAUCAGCUCGUGCUGAUUACGUCCCUGCCCUUUGUACACACCGCCCGUCGCACCUACCGAUUGAAUGACUCGGUGAAAAAUUGGGACUGUGAUUGAAAUUGCUUCAUUGCGAAUUUAAUCAUGGAAACUUUCUUUAACCUAGGCAUUUAGAGGAAGGUGAAGUCGUAACA
Molecule: ribosomal RNA, 328 nt
Filed under: uncultured eukaryote
Lineage: Eukaryota
Description: partial 18S ribosomal RNA
Rfam family: Eukaryotic small subunit ribosomal RNA
Source: RNAcentral